GCCGAUAUAGCUCAGUUGGUAGAGCAGCGCAAUUCGUAAUGCGAAGGUCGUAGGUUCGACUCCUAUUAUCGGCACCA
This 77-nucleotide transfer RNA is filed under the name Leclercia sp. W17. RNAcentral's name for it is "tRNA-OTHER". It matches the Rfam family "tRNA". From Rfam's summary of the family: Transfer RNA (tRNA) molecules are approximately 80 nucleotides in length. The record is from RNAcentral. Lineage: Bacteria; Pseudomonadati; Pseudomonadota; Gammaproteobacteria; Enterobacterales; Enterobacteriaceae.